This 441-nucleotide ribosomal RNA is filed under the name Staphylococcus aureus. Its description in RNAcentral is "bacterial LSU rRNA". It matches the Rfam family "Bacterial large subunit ribosomal RNA", at positions 2289 to 2729 of the family's 2925-position model. Lineage: Bacteria; Bacillati; Bacillota; Bacilli; Caryophanales; Staphylococcaceae. The record is from RNAcentral.
CCUAAAAGGGAAAGGAGGCGCUUAAAGGUUCCCUCCGUAUGGGUGGAAAUCAUUCUUAGCGUGACAAGGCAUAAGGGAGGUUGACUGGGAGCACUCCAAGUCGAGCAGGGUCGUAAGACGGACUUAGAGAUCCGGUGGUUCCGCAUGGAAGGGCGAUCGUUCAACGGAUAAAAGCUUCCCCGGGGAUAACAGGCUUAUAUCCCCCAAGAGUCCACAUCGACGGGCAGGUUUGGCACCUCGAUGUCGGCUCAUCCCAUCCUGGGGCUGUAGUCGGUCCCAAGGGUUGGGCCGUUCGCCCAUUAAAGCGGCACGCGCGCUGGGGUCAGAACGUCGUGAGACAGUUCGGUCCCUAUCCGUCGUGGGCGUAGGAAAUUUGAGAGGAGCUGUCCUUAAUACGAGAGGAGCGGGAUGGACAUACCUCUGGGGUAACAGUUGUCGGGC